This 844-nucleotide ribosomal RNA is filed under the name Pseudomonas sp. Its description in RNAcentral is "bacterial SSU rRNA". It matches the Rfam family "Bacterial small subunit ribosomal RNA", at positions 56 to 895 of the family's 1533-position model. The record is from RNAcentral. Lineage: Bacteria; Pseudomonadati; Pseudomonadota; Gammaproteobacteria; Pseudomonadales; Pseudomonadaceae.
UGCAAGUCGAGCGGUAGAGAGAAGCUUGCUUCUCUUGAGAGCGGCGGACGGGUGAGUAAUGCCUAGGAAUCUGCCUGGUAGUGGGGGAUAACGUUCGGAAACGGACGCUAAUACCGCAUACGUCCUACGGGAGAAAGCAGGGGACCUUCGGGCCUUGCGCUAUCAGAUGAGCCUAGGUCGGAUUAGCUAGUUGGUGGGGUAAUGGCUCACCAAGGCGACGAUCCGUAACUGGUCUGAGAGGAUGAUCAGUCACACUGGAACUGAGACACGGUCCAGACUCCUACGGGAGGCAGCAGUGGGGAAUAUUGGACAAUGGGCGAAAGCCUGAUCCAGCCAUGCCGCGUGUGUGAAGAAGGUCUUCGGAUUGUAAAGCACUUUAAGUUGGGAGGAAGGGUUGUAGAUUAAUACUCUGCAAUUUUGACGUUACCGACAGAAUAAGCACCGGCUAACUCUGUGCCAGCAGCCGCGGUAAUACAGAGGGUGCAAGCGUUAAUCGGAAUUACUGGGCGUAAAGCGCGCGUAGGUGGUUUGUUAAGUUGGAUGUGAAAUCCCCGGGCUCAACCUGGGAACUGCAUUCAAAACUGACUGACUAGAGUAUGGUAGAGGGUGGUGGAAUUUCCUGUGUAGCGGUGAAAUGCGUAGAUAUAGGAAGGAACACCAGUGGCGAAGGCGACCACCUGGACUAAUACUGACACUGAGGUGCGAAAGCGUGGGGAGCAAACAGGAUUAGAUACCCUGGUAGUCCACGCCGUAAACGAUGUCAACUAGCCGUUGGAAGCCUUGAGCUUUUAGUGGCGCAGCUAACGCAUUAAGUUGACCGCCUGGGGAGUACGGCCGCAAGGUU